RNAcentral lists this ribosomal RNA (1489 nucleotides) under Lactiplantibacillus plantarum. Its description in RNAcentral is "bacterial SSU rRNA". It matches the Rfam family "Bacterial small subunit ribosomal RNA". Lineage: Bacteria; Bacillati; Bacillota; Bacilli; Lactobacillales; Lactobacillaceae. The record is from RNAcentral.
GACGAACGCUGGCGGCGUGCCUAAUACAUGCAAGUCGAACGAACUCUGGUAUUGAUUGGUGCUUGCAUCAUGAUUUACAUUUGAGUGAGUGGCGAACUGGUGAGUAACACGUGGGAAACCUGCCCAGAAGCGGGGGAUAACACCUGGAAACAGAUGCUAAUACCGCAUAACAACUUGGACCGCAUGGUCCGAGCUUGAAAGAUGGCUUCGGCUAUCACUUUUGGAUGGUCCCGCGGCGUAUUAGCUAGAUGGUGGGGUAACGGCUCACCAUGGCAAUGAUACGUAGCCGACCUGAGAGGGUAAUCGGCCACAUUGGGACUGAGACACGGCCCAAACUCCUACGGGAGGCAGCAGUAGGGAAUCUUCCACAAUGGACGAAAGUCUGAUGGAGCAACGCCGCGUGAGUGAAGAAGGGUUUCGGCUCGUAAAACUCUGUUGUUAAAGAAGAACAUAUCUGAGAGUAACUGUUCAGGUAUUGACGGUAUUUAACCAGAAAGCCACGGCUAACUACGUGCCAGCAGCCGCGGUAAUACGUAGGUGGCAAGCGUUGUCCGGAUUUAUUGGGCGUAAAGCGAGCGCAGGCGGUUUUUUAAGUCUGAUGUGAAAGCCUUCGGCUCAACCGAAGAAGUGCAUCGGAAACUGGGAAACUUGAGUGCAGAAGAGGACAGUGGAACUCCAUGUGUAGCGGUGAAAUGCGUAGAUAUAUGGAAGAACACCAGUGGCGAAGGCGGCUGUCUGGUCUGUAACUGACGCUGAGGCUCGAAAGUAUGGGUAGCAAACAGGAUUAGAUACCCUGGUAGUCCAUACCGUAAACGAUGAAUGCUAAGUGUUGGAGGGUUUCCGCCCUUCAGUGCUGCAGCUAACGCAUUAAGCAUUCCGCCUGGGGAGUACGGCCGCAAGGCUGAAACUCAAAGGAAUUGACGGGGGCCCGCACAAGCGGUGGAGCAUGUGGUUUAAUUCGAAGCUACGCGAAGAACCUUACCAGGUCUUGACAUACUAUGCAAAUCUAAGAGAUUAGAUGUUCCCUUCGGGGACAUGGAUACAGGUGGUGCAUGGUUGUCGUCAGCUCGUGUCGUGAGAUGUUGGGUUAAGUCCCGCAACGAGCGCAACCCUUAUUAUCAGUUGCCAGCAUUAAGUUGGGCACUCUGGUGAGACUGCCGGUGACAAACCAGAGGAAGGUGGGGAUGACGUCAAAUCAUCAUGCCCCUUAUGACCUGGGCUACACACGUGCUACAAUGGAUGGUACAACGAGUUGCGAACUCGCGAGAGUAAGCUAAUCUCUUAAAGCCAUUCUCAGUUCGGAUUGUAGGCUGCAACUCGCCUACAUGAAGUCGGAAUCGCUAGUAAUCGCGGAUCAGCAUGCCGCGGUGAAUACGUUCCCGGGCCUUGUACACACCGCCCGUCACACCAUGAGAGUUUGUAACACCCAAAGUCGGUGGGGUAACCUUUUAGGAACCAGCCGCCUAAGGUGGGACAGAUGAUUAGGGUG